UAUCCAUUGGGCCAACGCCAGCAAAAACUGCCCUGUCCAGUAAAAACAAGUAAGUCAGAUUCAGUACGAACUCACACCCUUCUUCUUCGUACCCCCUUCUCGACCAACGCCGCCACCGCGACCGCCGCCUGACCACGCCGCUCUUCGCCGCCGGAACUGCGCGGCCACCGCCAACUCCGACAAAGGAGGUCAUGGCCAAUUCUAGAGGCAACAAUGAGUCGGUGUGCGAUGUGGACAUGGCCAACAAUCAAUUCUUAGACACUUAUGAGUAUAUCAUCAAGAGCAUGCAAGGGGCAAAUGACGAGCUAAAGGUGGAGAUUAAAGAGCUACGCAAGGACACUAUUUGGCUCGUUAAGGAGACUAAUGAGUUGAGGGACGAGAGGGAUAAGCUCGUCGAGGAUCGGGAAAACUGAAGGAGGGCAUAAGACUCCUUAGGGCUGAGAGGAUUGACUUGAAGAUGGCCAUAGGUCAUUUCAGAAGAAAUGGAGAGGGGGGUAGAAAGAAGAUUCGCCAGCUGGGCAUUCUCCUUGAUGAUGAUUAGUUUUUUUAAGUAGCUAGUUCAUCUUAUUAGUUGAUUAUGAUCGAGUAACUAGAGUACUUGAUGAGCAACUUUUGUGAAGUUUAAUAUCAACUUGUUAAGUUCAU
Molecule: long non-coding RNA, 645 nt
Organism: Triticum urartu
Lineage: Eukaryota; Viridiplantae; Streptophyta; Magnoliopsida; Poales; Poaceae
Source: RefSeq, a predicted model, not a curated record